RNAcentral lists this ribosomal RNA (400 nucleotides) under uncultured bacterium. RNAcentral's name for it is "bacterial SSU rRNA". It matches the Rfam family "Bacterial small subunit ribosomal RNA", at positions 355 to 758 of the family's 1533-position model. The record is from RNAcentral.
UGGGGAAUAUUGGACAAUGGGCGCAAGCCUGAUCCAGCAAUGCCGCGUGUGUGAAGAAGGCCUGUGGGUUGUAAAGCACUUUCAGGGGGGAGGAAAGGUCCGCAAGGAUUUUGACGUUACCCCCAGAAGAAGCACCGGCUAACUCUGUGCCAGCAGCCGCGGUAAUACAGAGGGUGCGAGCGUUAAUCGGAAUGACUGGGCGUAAAGCGCGCGUAGGCGGUUAUAUAAGUUGGGUGUGAAAUCCCUGGGCUCAACCUAGGAAUUGCAUUCAAAACUGUAUGACUUGAGUGAAGUAGAGGUGAGUGGAAUUUCCGGAGUAGCGGUGAAAUGCGUAGAUACCGGAAGGAACACCAGUGGCGAAGGCGACUCACUGGGCUUUAACUGACGCUGAGGUGCGAAA